This 313-nucleotide long non-coding RNA is filed under the name Gopherus agassizii (Agassiz's desert tortoise). Its description in RNAcentral is "lncRNA (ENSGAGG00000010844.1)". The record is from RNAcentral. Lineage: Eukaryota; Metazoa; Chordata; Testudines; Testudinidae.
CCCUCAGCCUGCACUGCUCUGUCUCCCUGCAGGCUGCUCGCUGGACGGCCGGGAGUUUGCCAGCGGGGAGCCGGUGCCCAGCAGGGAGCCCUGCACCCAGUGUGCCUGCGUGAGCGGGAACGUGUUGUGCAAACCCACCGCCUGCCCAGCUGCCCCCUGCCCAGAGCCUGUCCGGAGACCUGGCGAGUGCUGCCCGCAGUGCCGGGACUGCCUCUCCGACGCCCAGCCCGUCCCGGACGGUGCCAUCUUCACCCCCCCGCAGGAGCCCUGCCUCAGCUGCCGCUGCCAGGUGAGCUGGGCACAGGGCAGGCGC